GGGUGCGAUCAUACCAGCAAUAAUGCACCGGAUCCCAUCAGAACUCCGAAGUUAAGCUUGCUUGGGCGAGAGCAGUACUAGGAUGGGUGACCUCCUGGGAGUCUCGUGUUGCACCCCU
RNAcentral lists this ribosomal RNA (118 nucleotides) under Rosa chinensis. Lineage: Eukaryota; Viridiplantae; Streptophyta; Magnoliopsida; Rosales; Rosaceae. The record is from RNAcentral.